Bos taurus (domestic cattle) is the source of this 1642-nucleotide long non-coding RNA. The record is from Ensembl. NCBI's taxonomy places the organism in Eukaryota, Metazoa, Chordata, Mammalia, Artiodactyla, Bovidae.
UUGGGGCUGGGAGAGAGGGGAAGUGAAAUUUUGAAGAAAUUUCCCCCCCAAAAGUCCAGAAGGGCUUUCCUUGGGCGGGGGGGAUGGGGGAGGAAGGAGUGAUCAGGGACCAAGGGUGGUGGGCACAAGGGUGCAAUUCACCUGAAGUGUACUCAUCGACCUUUUUGAACCAGGAAGGUGUGUCCAGGCAUAGCUCACAUGUUCAGAAAUUAACCGCAAGCUAUUUUAAGCACCCAGAUGAUUUUGCAGAGAGCCUGCCCAUUUCCCCUUGAGAAGCAAGUUGCUAGGGCCAGGGUUCUCAAAAUGGGUCCCCUCCCCGACACACCACCCCCUACCUCCGGAGUACCAGCAGUUCCUGGGAACUUGUUAGAGAUGCAAAUCCCCAGCUGGGGCCCAGAUCUGCAGAACUGGAAACUCUGGGGAGUGGAGGGAGGGGGUGGCCACCCCAGUGUGCAUGCAGGAAUCCCCUGGGGACCUCGCUAAAAUGCAGACUCUGAUGGUUAGUCUGGUGUGGGCCCGAGUGUCUGCAUUUCCGACAGGCUCUCAAGAUGUGAUAGAGAAAAGGGGCUUCCCAGGUGGCUCAGUGCGUGAAGAAUCCACCUGCAAUGUAAGAGAGGUGGGUUUGAUCCCUGGGCUGGGAAGAUCCCCUGGAGGAGGGCAUGGCAACCCAUUCCAGUAUUCUUGCCUGGAGAAUCCCAGGAGGAUUCUGGAGCCUGGUAGGGCUGCGGUCCAUAAGGUCACAAAGAGUCAGACACAGCUGAAGCGACUGAGCAUGCACGCAUCCAAACAGACAAAGCAGGUCAUUAGAUAGCUAAUCCUGCUAGGGGAUUGUAAGUAGAAAGAUAUGGGAGACUUUCUCAAGAAAGCAGAUUUGCUUAACCACAAAACUAACCAGGCUUGCGUAGCAACAUAACCAUGUAACAGAGGCUCGAGACUGACCCAAAACAAUAAAACAAUGGUGACAUGAGCCCCACCUCCUGUCCAGAGAGCUCACUAAGUUACCGAUUCCUGGGACAAGCUCACUGCACACAAGAAGAACAAUACUUUGCGGCCCUAGCUUGACCACAUGGGGACAAGAAAGCUCCCCUGCCCACCCUGGAGAAGGAGCUGAUGAUAGAAGCAUGACGUCUACCCAAGAAAGACAAAGGAGGUCUUCUCCCCCUCCGCACUCUUCCUUUGAUUAUAAAACUGCAGCUCAGUUAAAUUCUCAGGGUGUGGCAUUUCUCACCCACCUGCUUGUAAAGCCUUGCUAGUGUCUUGUUCUAAUCAAUCAUUUCUUAUUUAUCACUGCCCCACUCACUGAAUUCUGUUCUUUGCUGAGACAUAAAGGACUAUGGUACCGGAGUCCUUCAGAGCCCCCAAGAUGACACCCAAUUGGUUUCAAAUGCUGAUGCCAAGGCCCAGGACCACACUGGGAGUAGCAAGGGUCUAAAAACCAGUCGGGGGGAGGGGAGUUGACAAACAACUACCUUCUGCUUGUUUUCUAGAUGCACAGCUACAUCCGCUCCUCAACCUACUGCUGCCUACCCCUAUGGGCGCAAAGUAACCAGGAGAGGCUAGGGGGUAGGGGGGCAACUGCUCACUCUCUGGUCUUUUACAUAAGGCAAAGCCAGCCCCUGUCUAAAGGAAUCUCCCUCAGCCC